GAUGAAGAACGCAGCGAACGUGCGAAACGUAAUGUGAAUUGCAGAAUUCAGUGAAUCAUCGAAUCUUUGAACGCAUCUUGCGCUCCUUGGUAUUCCGAGGAGCAUGCCUGUUUGAGUGUCGUGAAUACUCUCAACUUCAACCCUUUUUUCGGAAAGGAGGAAGGUUGGACUUGGGUGUUUGUUGAAGUGCGAGCUUCGACUCAUCCUAAAUGCAUUAGCGAUCUGCCUCGAUCACACACAAUGUGAUAAUUAAAACUAAAGCAUUGUUUAAUGAUCAAGUCGAGACUGCUUCUAACUGUCGCAAGACAAUAACGUGCAUACAUUUGUGCAUGUCAUUUGACCUCAAAUCAGGUAGGACUACCCGCUGAACUUAAGCAUAUCAAUAAGCGGAGGA
This 394-nucleotide unclassified non-coding RNA is filed under the name soil metagenome. RNAcentral describes it as "partial contains 5.8S ribosomal RNA, internal transcribed spacer 2, and large subunit ribosomal RNA". The stretch from base 1 to 121 matches the Rfam family "5.8S ribosomal RNA", at positions 35 to 154 of the family's 154-position model. The record is from RNAcentral.